ACAGUCUAUCUCCUAGCCUACUCACUUAACCGCAAAAAUUAUGAAAAUCUCAACCAAAACCAAUUAAAACAUUUUUUAUCUUUAGUAUACGUGAAAAAAAAAGAAACCAGAGCUAUAACUUUAGUACCGCAAGGGAAAGGUGAAAUAAUAAUGAAAUAAAUCUCAACAUAAAAAAGCAAAGAUUAAAUCUUGUACCUUUUGCAUCAUGGCCUAACAAGUCUAACCAGGCAAAAUGAAUUCUAGUCUGACUUCCCGAAACUAAGUGAGCUACUCCGAAGCACCUUAAUAACCCGUCUCUGUGGCAAAAGAGUGGGGAGACUUCCGAGUAGAGGCGAAAAACCUACCGAACUUAGUGAUAGCUGGUUGCUCAGGAAAAGAAUUUUAGUUCUGUCUUAAAAAUUAAAGCACUUAAAGCAUAUUUUUAAGAAUUAUUCAAUUAGGGUACAGCCUAAUUGAAAUAGGAUACAGCCUAAAUCUUAGGAUAAUGAUUAAAUCUAAAGAAGUCAAAGGCUAAGUUGGCUUAAAAGCAGCCAUCUUUUAAAAAGCGUCAAAGCUUCACCUUAAGUAAACUUUUAUUUUAUUAAUUUUUCAAAAUCCAAUAUUACUACUGAGCUGUUCUAUAUUAUUAUAGAAAUAUUAAUGUUAGGACUAGUAACAUAGAAUUUUUUCUCUUCCAUGUAAGUAUAAAUCAGUUCGGAUACCCCACUGAUAAUUACCCAGAUUUGAGUUUAAAGUAAUUUAUAACCCAUGAAAAUACUACUUCAUCUUCUGUUAACCUAACACAAGGACAUGUAAGAAAGAUUAAAAGACCAAGAAGGAACUCGGCAAACAUAAGUCCCGCCUGUUUACCAAAAACAUCGCCUUUUGAAAAUCAUAAAAGGUAACGCCUGCCCAGUGACAUAGUUUAACGGCCGCGGUAUCCUGACCGUGCGAAGGUAGCGUAAUCAUUUGUCUUUUAAAUAAAGACCUGUAUGAAUGGCAUCACGAGGACUUAACUGUCUCCUUGGUCCUGUCAGUGAAACUGAUCUUUCCGUGCAAAAGCGGAAAUAUAAUCAUAAGACGAGAAGACCCUAUGGAGCUUAAAACUUUAAUCUAGCUUUACUUUCCUAAUAAAUUAAUUAUUACCAUAUUUGUGUAGACUUAGCUAAAGUUUUCAGUUGGGGUGACUGUGGAGAAAAACAAAUCCUCCAUGAAGAAAUAAGCUUUGAGCUACUACUCUAAACAUUAGCAAGGCUAACUUUAAUUGAUCCAAUAAUUUUGAUCAACGGACCAAGUUACCCUAGGGAUAACAGCGCAAUCCAUUUCAAGAGUCCAUAUCGACAAAUGGGUUUACGACCUCGAUGUUGGAUUAGGACAUCCUAGUGGUGCAGCCGCUACUAAU
This 1381-nucleotide ribosomal RNA is filed under the name Leptobrachium banae (spadefoot toad). Its description in RNAcentral is "partial 16S rRNA". It matches the Rfam family "Bacterial large subunit ribosomal RNA", at positions 367 to 2569 of the family's 2925-position model. Lineage: Eukaryota; Metazoa; Chordata; Amphibia; Anura; Megophryidae. The record is from RNAcentral.